GAUGAAGAACUAGCGAAAUGCGAUAAGUAAUGUGAAUUGCAGAAUUCAGUGAAUCAUCGAAUCUUUGAACGCACAUUGCGCCCGCCAGUAUUCUGGCGGGCAUGCCUGUUCGAGCGUCAUUUCAACCCUCAGGGCCCUUUUGGACCUGGCGUUGGGGCUCGGCCGCUACCCUGCGGCCGUCCCCGAAAGAUAGUGGCGGUCUCGCUGUAGCCUCCUCUGCGUAGUAGUUACAUCUCGCACUGGAACGCGGCGCGGCCAUGCCGUUAAACACCCCACUUCUCAAGGUUGACCUCGGAUCAGGUAGGAAUACCCGCUGAACUUAAGCAUAUCAAUAAGCGGAGGA
RNAcentral lists this unclassified non-coding RNA (343 nucleotides) under soil metagenome. RNAcentral describes it as "partial contains 5.8S ribosomal RNA, internal transcribed spacer 2, and large subunit ribosomal RNA". The stretch from base 1 to 119 matches the Rfam family "5.8S ribosomal RNA", at positions 35 to 154 of the family's 154-position model. The record is from RNAcentral.